Molecule: ribosomal RNA, 169 nt
Filed under: Escherichia coli
Lineage: Bacteria; Pseudomonadati; Pseudomonadota; Gammaproteobacteria; Enterobacterales; Enterobacteriaceae
Description: partial 16S ribosomal RNA
Rfam family: Bacterial small subunit ribosomal RNA
Source: RNAcentral
UUAAAUUGAAGAGUUUGAUCAUGGCUCAGAUUGAACGCUGGCGGCAGGCCUAACACAUGCAAGUCGAACGGUAACAGGAAACAGCUUGCUGUUUCGCUGACGAGUGGCGGACGGGUGAGUAAUGUCUGGGAAACUGCCUGAUGGAGGGGGAUAACUACUGGAAACGGUA